Pelobates cultripes (western spadefoot toad) is the source of this 213-nucleotide non-coding RNA. The record is from the annotation of a GenBank genome assembly. NCBI's taxonomy places the organism in Eukaryota, Metazoa, Chordata, Amphibia, Anura, Pelobatidae.
GGCAGGAGGAGGAGAGUUCCCCAGCGCCGAGGGAGCCCGGUGCUGGAGAUAGGUAAGUGGGUUUUAACCCCUUCAGCCCAGCGAGAGAGGGGCCAUAAGGGUGGGGGUCCUAAGGACUACAUAGUGCCAGGAAAACAAGUUUAUUUUCCAGGCACUAUAGUGGUCCUUUAACUCUCUUUACUUAACUCCUACAGCAGCAACCAUAACAACCAG